This 511-nucleotide non-coding RNA is filed under the name Steinernema sp. n. 6 FS-2012. Lineage: Eukaryota; Metazoa; Nematoda; Chromadorea; Rhabditida; Steinernematidae. The record is from RNAcentral.
CCCUCAUGUAUUGUAUUUUUGUAAAUUAAACUUUUUUAUUUGUUUUUAUUUUCUAGGGUAAAAUCAGGAAAAUUAUUUUCUUUUGUUUAAUUUAUAAGAUUUGUUAAACGAACCAGAUUAGUACCUGGUUAGACAAAAUUAAAAAGAGCAGGAGUAAAGUUAUGUUUAAACUGUAAGGAUAUUGGCAGGCUUUUUAAAUUAUCUUUGGAGGUUGAGUAGUAAUUGAGAACCCUCAUUAUCAUCUUUUGUUUUAGGCGCAUGUAUGAUCGUUUAUUUUAUUCUUGAGGAUUGUAAUUAAAAAUUUUUAUUUAUUAAAAUAGAUAAAUACCUGGUUUAUACAAAAGUUUAAAUUUGACCUACAUUAUUUAAUAUUUUGGAUUUAUAUUCAGAGAUGUUUUAAUGAAAUUGUAAAAGACAGUAAAUCAUUUUUUAUAUAUGAUUGAAGUUUAUUUAAAAGCGGUACAAAUCAUCCAUCAAUUGCCCAAAGGGGAGUAAGUUGUAUAAAGUAAAA